Long non-coding RNA from Gasterosteus aculeatus aculeatus (three-spined stickleback), 1191 nucleotides. The record is from Ensembl. NCBI's taxonomy places the organism in Eukaryota, Metazoa, Chordata, Actinopteri, Perciformes, Gasterosteidae.
CUCGACAUCGGAGGCAGGCAGAUCCCAGUGGAACCACCAUCGACAGAAGCCUGAGGGACCGCUGUAGGAAGGAUGCCCAGACAUAUAACUGUUAUCAGAGUGUGUUUUACGAUGGGGGUGUGAGAGUGUGGCAGAGCACCCACCUGCUACAGACAGGUUGAGCAGACACUUUUUGACCAGAAAAUACCCAGGGCCCAAUAGGUGUAUGUAACCACCCCCACACAAAAGCAUCUAGUUAGGUAUUUGGGGAAGUUUUCAAACAACUUUGUUGCAGUACGUGGUUACAGAGAGUUUAAGACUACCAAGGUCCUAUUUUGCCACCCUGAGCGACGAUGGAACACCUUGGUGAAAGCGACUGCAGCCAGAAUCCUAAAGAUUGUGGAAGGUUUACUACAAAAAGCGUGAAAACAGACCUGCAGACACCUUCAAGAAAUACAAAAACAACUCGAAGCAUUGAGUGGCUUACCACAACCCUCAACAAGUAAGCCGUCCCUGGAUGGGUGUUCUCCAAAAGGACCAAAGUGGGUUAAACCCACAAUAAAAACGCCUGCGAUAGAGUCCACAUCCAAGGAUACGUGGGGAGGGCUGUGGUAUCCAUCAGAAGGCCCCGCGGUGUUUAAACCUUCAAUAAAAAGGCCUGCGUUAGCUCCCACCCGUCAGGACACCAGGGGAGGUAAUAAAGUUGUUAGUGCGUGUGUAAUGUAUUGUAAUAAUAUCUCUAUCCACUUCAUAUAACUUUAAAAAAAGUUUUUACACAGGUCUAUGGUUCCCUCCCAAAACACAAGCAAAAGGUUAAACACAAAAAAGGUUUAAAGACAGCCUUUGGCGGCGUGGACUACACCGAAUGAAGAGCCGGAACUUUUUACCCCAAGAUACGACAACCUAAUAAGCGAUGAGGAAUUAAUACGCCGUGUUGAGGCCCUCAAAUUGGACCUGGAGCCUCAUUUCUAAACGUUGCGUACGCAAUGCAAAAAAAAAAAGUUUUCUCCCAUCCUGCGACUCGAUAUUGUCACUCCCCCUGUGACAUCACUUAAGAGCCUAGUUUUCUGGGUUGGAGUGUGUUUAGCAAUUGCCUGGAGACACGUGUGGACAACAAAAACUGUGGUUUAAAUGAAUUCCUGAGUGAGAAUUUCAACCAAUAUCUAUUCACAGAUAGUUUCCAGACUGUAUUUCAAUGAGCAUUACUCAAAC